UUUGGUUGCAGAAGGCUUCGUUCAAAAUUAAUAUAAAUAAACAUAACUGAUGAUGUCAUACAUAUUAAGGCCCUGGAUGAGGUCAUAAGGAUCCUAAAAAAUUGACCAUGUAUUAAAGCUAGAGGGUAAACAACAAUUUAAGAAACUGUAAGAGGAGAAGAAACGAAAUAGCCACUGUGCAACUGCAAGUUUACAGAAGGAAUGAAUCAACAGAGGAUCAGAGUAGUGGGGUGGGACGACAAGGUCCACCAAAGCAAAUCUUGUAUCAACCAACAACAGCACAAG
RNAcentral lists this unclassified non-coding RNA (285 nucleotides) under Hevea brasiliensis (rubber tree). Lineage: Eukaryota; Viridiplantae; Streptophyta; Magnoliopsida; Malpighiales; Euphorbiaceae. The record is from RNAcentral.